Molecule: long non-coding RNA, 448 nt
Filed under: Nicotiana benthamiana
Lineage: Eukaryota; Viridiplantae; Streptophyta; Magnoliopsida; Solanales; Solanaceae
Description: long non-coding RNA (NBEN_LNC011169)
Source: RNAcentral
CCUAGAAUUUGAAGAACUCGUCGGAACAAAGUCAGAGAUAUCGAAAAAUCACCCAAAACAUCUACUGAUACAGGAUCGGAGCCUCAAACAGUCAGAAAAGUCCCGAUUAACCGAUUAACAUGCAUCGGAAAAAAAAUAUACGAACAGUAUUUUUCUCAGAUAACCGAAGAUAAAACUUUAGCAAAAGCUUCAUCAAGUAUCGAUAACACAUAACAGAGAAAGAUCGGAAGAUUUUCCCGCUCUGAUACCAUGAAAACAUGAAGAAUUAAAGAUGAAAAUCAGAGAAGAUGAAUCGAUAACACAUAACAGAGAAAGAUCGGAAGAUUUUCCCGCUCUGAUACCAUGAAAACAUGAAGAUUUAAAGAUGAAAAUCAGAGAAGAUGAAGAUGAACAGCAAGAGAGACAGAGAGAGAAACGGAAGCUUCUGGAGAAAGCCAGAAGACAAAUG